RNAcentral lists this ribosomal RNA (275 nucleotides) under uncultured bacterium. RNAcentral describes it as "partial 16S ribosomal RNA". It matches the Rfam family "Bacterial small subunit ribosomal RNA", at positions 29 to 315 of the family's 1533-position model. The record is from RNAcentral.
AACGAACGCUGGCGGCAGGCCUAACACAUGCAAGUCGAACGCCGUAGCAAUACGGAGUGGCAGACGGGUGAGUAACGCGUGGGAACAUACCCCUCGGUUCGGAAUAAACUCAGGGAAACUUGAGCUAAUACCGGAUACGUCCGAGGUUUUGAUCGACCUUGGAGAAAGAUUUAAUCGCCGAAGGAUUGGCCCGCGUCUGAUUAGCUUGUUGGUGAGGUAAUGGCUCACCAAGGCGACGAUCAGUAGCUGGUCUGAGAGGAUGAUCAGCCACAGUU